UGAAUACGAGACGCUAAGGCGUUGAAGUAGUGUAUGUCAUACUUCCAAGGAAAGCUUGCACUGUCAUAGAUAAAAAACGCCUGUACCAUAACCGACACAGGUGGGUAGGUAGAGUAUACUAAGGGGCGCGAGAUAACUCUCUCUAAGGAACUCGGCAAAAUAACUCCGUAACUUCGGGAGAAGGAGUGCCUUAUUUAUAAGGCUGCAAUAACAAGAUCCAAGCAACUGUUUAUCAAAAACACAGGUCUCCGCUAAGUCGUAAGACGAUGUAUGGGGGCUGACGCCUGCCCAGUGCCAGAAGGUUAAAGAAGUUGGUUAGCAAUAGCGAAGCUGAUAACUGAAGCCCUGGUGAACGGCGGCCGUAACGAUAACGGUCCUAAGGUAGCGAAAUUCCUUGUCGGGUAAGUUCCGACCCGCACGAAAGGCGUAAUGAUUUGGAUACUGUCUCGGAGAGGGGCUCGGUGAAAUAGACUUGUCUGUGAAGAUGCGGACUACCUGCACCAGGACAGAAAGACCCUAUGAAGCUUUACUGUAACUUGAAAUUGAAAUUGGACUUUAUUCGCGCAGUAUAGGUGGGAGGCGUUGAUUGUAAUCUUGCGGGAUUAUUGGAGCCAUCAGUGAGAUACCACCCUUGUAAUGUUAGAUUUCUAACUUUGAAUCAUUAUCUGGUCAAAGAACAGUUUCAGGCGGGCAGUUUGACUGGGGCGGUCGCCUCCUAAACGGUAACGGAGGCGUACAAAGGUUUCCUCUGAACGGUUAGAAAUCGUAUCUAGAGUGUAAAGGCAUAAGGAAGCUUGACUGUGAGACCUACAAGUCGAGCAGGGACGAAAGUCGGUCUUAGUGAUCUGACGGUACUGAGUGGAAAGGCCGUCACUCAACGGAUAAAAGUUACUCUAAGGAUAACAGGCUGAUCUCCCCCAAGAGUUCACAUCGACGGGGAGGUUUGGCACCUCGAUGUCGGCUCAUCGCAUCCUGGGGCGGUAGUACGUCCCAAGGGUUGGGCUGUUCGCCCAUGAAAGCGGUACGCGAGCUGGGUUCAGAACGUCGUGAGACAGUUCGGUCCAUAUCCGGUGUAGGCGUUAGAAUAUUGAGAGGAGCCUUCUUUAGUACGAGAGGACCGAGAAGGACAUACCUCUGGUGUACCAGUUAUCGUGCCAACGGUAAACGCUGGGUAGCUAUGUAUGGAGUGGAUAACCGCUGAAAGCAUCUAAGUGGGAAGCCCACCUCAAGAUAAGUAUUCUCAUC
Molecule: ribosomal RNA, 1245 nt
Filed under: metagenome
Description: bacterial LSU rRNA
Rfam family: Bacterial large subunit ribosomal RNA
Source: RNAcentral